AGGGGAUUCUGGCAAAAAUUUCCCACCAUUGCGAACACUGCUGUAAACUCCACCAGUGACAGGACGUCCAGAUUCUGAAAGGCACUUAGCUGACAGAAGACACAGCCAACCUUCAGGAAAUCUCACUGAAACUAACUUGCUUCAUAUGGACCUGUAUUAAAGGCAUGAAGUCUCUCAAGAAAGACGGAGGAGGAGAAUGGAAGGAUGGAAGAAGCGCUGGAAGAGCCAACUGUUGGACUUGAAGACAUUACUGCAAAAUAAGAGGUGAUCUUCUUCAGCAAUGGAAUUGAUAAGAG
Molecule: long non-coding RNA, 296 nt
Organism: Chelonia mydas (Green sea turtle)
Lineage: Eukaryota; Metazoa; Chordata; Testudines; Cheloniidae
Exons: 3
Source: RefSeq, a predicted model, not a curated record